UACAGAGGUCUCAAGCGUUGUUCGGAUUCAUUGGGCGUAAAGGGUGCGUAGGCGGCGCGGUAAGUCGGAUGUGAAAUCUCGGAGCUUAACCUCGAAACUGCAUUCGACACUGCCGUGCUUGAGGACUGGAGAGGAGACUGGAAUUUACGGUGUAGCGGUGAAAUGCGUAGAUAUCGUAAGGAAGACCAGUGGCGAAGGCGGGUCUCUGGACAGUUCCUGACGCUGAGGCACGAAGGUCAGGGGAGCAAACGGG
RNAcentral lists this ribosomal RNA (253 nucleotides) under uncultured bacterium. RNAcentral's name for it is "partial 16S ribosomal RNA". It matches the Rfam family "Bacterial small subunit ribosomal RNA", at positions 524 to 776 of the family's 1533-position model. The record is from RNAcentral.